UGGCAUUAACGAUUGACCAAAACUUCAUAUCUUAGAUCAUCCCGAAAGAAAUUUUUGCGUUUAUUAAUUUUUGUUCUCUUCUAACAAUUGCAAAAUUCUUUCAUAUUGAUAAUCCUCUAAACAAGAAAAUGUAUAGAAAGCCGGAGAGUAACAAAGGCAUAGAAACAAAAACACCCUUGUUCAAAAUUCCAGCCCCGCGUGGUUCUUCUUCGAUAAUUGGCUCUAACUUGGAACAACGUGAAGAUCUCUUAUAAUGUGAUUGUAGGACUAGGAGGGUUGGUGCAACUUCACCCCAAAAUUUGUUAAUGGACUUCACCUUGUUCACCAUUUGUGAUUGAAACUUUGGCAGAGUCCUUUGCUCUUUAGAAUAAUGUAAUUAAGGCUCCUUUGAAGAAUGAUUGAAGUGGAGAUAGAGGGAAUUGAAAUUGCUAAAUGUUAUUGAAGGUUGAAGCAUUUGAAUGAGAAUAGGACACGAUACACACCUGCUUUAUAUAGGGC
RNAcentral lists this long non-coding RNA (498 nucleotides) under Glycine max (soybean). Its description in RNAcentral is "long non-coding RNA (GMAX_LNC001962)". Lineage: Eukaryota; Viridiplantae; Streptophyta; Magnoliopsida; Fabales; Fabaceae. The record is from RNAcentral.